CUACGGAGGAAAGAGGGGGAUCGUAAGACCUCUUGCUACCGGAGCGGCCGAUAUCAGAUUAGCUGGUUGGUGGGGUAACGGCCUACCAAGGCGGUGAUCUGUAGCUGGUUUGAGAGGACGACCAGCCACACUGGGACUGAGACACGGCCCAGACUCCUACGGGAGGCAGCAGUGGGGAAUUUUCGACAAUGGGGGGAACCCUGAUCGAGCCAUCUCGCGUGUGGGACGAAGGCCUUCGGGUUGUAAACCACUUUUCUCAACGAAGAAAAGUCUUAGGCUAAUACCUUAAGAUGCUGACGGUAGUUGAGGAAUAAGCACCGGCUAACUACGUGCCAGCAGCCGCGGUAAUACGUAGGGUGCGAGCGUUAAUCGGAAUUACUGGGCGUAAAGGGUGCGCAGGCGGCUUGGAAAGAACGGUGUGAAAUCCCGGGGCUCAACCUCGGAACUGCACU
Molecule: ribosomal RNA, 452 nt
Filed under: Oligella urethralis
Lineage: Bacteria; Pseudomonadati; Pseudomonadota; Betaproteobacteria; Burkholderiales; Alcaligenaceae
Description: bacterial SSU rRNA
Rfam family: Bacterial small subunit ribosomal RNA
Source: RNAcentral